AUUGAACGCUGGCGGCAUGCCUAAUACAUGCAAGUCGAGCGACAACACAGAGAGCUUGGCUCCUUGAGUGUCGAGUGGCACAGGUGAGUGAAAUAUAGCGAACCUUACUGUGUGAUGGGGGAUAACUAAUGGAAAGAGUACCAAAUACGGCAUAUUCAUUGAGCAGGAAAGCAGGAUACUGAAGGGCGUUGUUGUUUUCGCUCGUCCGUUGUCUCGCUCCGCAUUAGCUAGUGGGUAAGGUAACGGCCUACCAAGGCAACGAUGCGUAGCGGAGCUGAGAGGAUGAUCCGCCACACUGGGACUGAGACACGGCCCAGACUCCUACGGGAGGCAGCAGUGGGGAAUUUUGGACAAUGGGCGCAAGCCUGAUCCAGCCAUGCCGCGUGUGUGAAGAAGGCCUUCGGGUUGUAAAACACUUUUGUCAGGGAAGAAAAGACGGUUGAUAAUAUCGACACCUGAUGACGGUACCUGAACAAUAAGCAACGGCUAACUACGUG
Molecule: ribosomal RNA, 497 nt
Filed under: uncultured bacterium
Lineage: Bacteria
Description: partial 16S ribosomal RNA
Rfam family: Bacterial small subunit ribosomal RNA
Source: RNAcentral